UACUCUUCGGGGUUGUAGGACUGCAACGUGGACUUAAAGAUUAUAGAAGAACUACCUGGGAAGGUAGGCCAAAGAGAGUAAUAGCCUCGUAUUCGAAAUAGUCUUUAUACCUAGCAGUAUCCUGAGUACGGCGAGACACGAGAAAUCUCGUCGGAAUCUGGGAGGACCAUCUCCCAACCCUAAAUACUCUCUAGUGACCGAUAGUGAACCAGUACCGUGAGGGAAAGGUGAAAAGCACCCCGGGAGGGGAGUGAAAUAGAACCUGAAACCGUGUGCCUACAACAAGUUCGAGCCCGUUAAUGGGUGAGAGCGUGCCUUUUGUAGAAUGAACCGGCGAGUUACGAUAUGAUGCGAGGUUAAGUUGAAGAGACGGAGCCGUAGGGAAACCGAGUCUUAAUAGGGCGCAUUAGUAUCAUGUCGUAGACCCGAAACCAUGUGACCUACCCAUGAGCAGGUUGAAGGUGAGGUAAAACUCACUGGAGGACCGAACCAGGGCACGUUGAAAAGUGCUUGGAUGACUUGUGGGUAGCGGAGAAAUUCCAAACGAACUUGGAGAUAGCUGGUUCUCUCCGAAAUAGCUUUAGGGCUAGCGUCGAUGUUAAGUCUCUUGGAGGUAGAGCACUGUUUGGGUGAGGGGUCCAUCCCGGAUUACCAAUCUCAGAUAAACUCCGAAUGCCAACGAGAUAUAAUCGGCAGUCAGACUGCGAGUGCUAAGAUCCGUAGUCGAAAGGGAAACAGCCCAGACCAUCAGCUAAGGUCCCAAAAUAUAUGUUAAGUGGAAAAGGAUGUGGGGUUGCACAGACAACUAGGAUGUUAGCUUAGAAGCAGCUAUUCAUUCAAAGAGUGCGUAAUAGCUCACUAGUCGAGUGACCCUGCGCCGAAAAUGUACCGGGGCUAAAACAUAUUACCGAAGCUGUGGAUACCUUUAUAGGUAUGGUAGGAGAGCGUUCUAUGUGCGAAGAAGGUGUACCGUGAGGAGUGCUGGAGCGCAUAGAAGUGAGAAUGCCGGUAUGAGUAGCGAAAGACAGGUGAGAAUCCUGUCCACCGUAAGACUAAGGUUUCCAGGGGAAGGCUCGUCCGCCCUGGGUUAGUCGGGACCUAAGGAGAGACCGAAAGGUGUAUCCGAUGGACAACAGGUUGAUAUUCCUGUACUAGAGUAUAUAGUGAUGGAGGGACGCAGUAGGCUAACUAAACCAGACGAUUGGAAGUGUCUGGCCAAGCAGUGAGGUGUGAUAUGAGUCAAAUGCUUAUAUCUAUAACAUUGAGCUGUGAUGGGGAGCGAAGUUUAGUAGCGAAGUUAGUGAUGUCACACUGCCGAGAAAAGCUUCUAGCGUUAAUUAUACUCUACCCGUACCGCAAACCGACACAGGUAGUCGAGGCGAGUAGCCUCAGGUGAGCGAGAGAACUCUCGUUAAGGAACUCGGCAAAAUGGCCCCGUAACUUCGGGAGAAGGGGCGCUGACUUAUGGUCAGCCGCAGUGAAUAGGCCCAAGCAACUGUUUAUCAAAAACACAGCUCUCUGCUAAAUCGUAAGAUGAUGUAUAGGGGGUGACGCCUGCCCGGUGCUGGAAGGUUAAGAGGAGUGCUUAGCGUAAGCGAAGGUAUGAAUUGAAGCCCCAGUAAACGGCGGCCGUAACUAUAACGGUCCUAAGGUAGCGAAAUUCCUUGUCGGGUAAGUUCCGACCCGCACGAAAGGCGUAAUGAUUUGGGCACUGUCUCAACGAGAGACUCG
RNAcentral lists this ribosomal RNA (1731 nucleotides) under metagenome. Its description in RNAcentral is "bacterial LSU rRNA". It matches the Rfam family "Bacterial large subunit ribosomal RNA", at positions 286 to 2035 of the family's 2925-position model. The record is from RNAcentral.